Molecule: ribosomal RNA, 543 nt
Filed under: uncultured bacterium
Lineage: Bacteria
Description: bacterial SSU rRNA
Rfam family: Bacterial small subunit ribosomal RNA
Source: RNAcentral
CACCAAGGCUAUGACGGGUAGCUGGUCUGAGAGGACGACCAGCCACACUGGAACUGAGACACGGUCCAGACACCUACGGGUGGCAGCAGUCGAGAAUUUUUCUCAAUGGGCGAAAGCCUGAAGGAGCGACGCCGCGUGGAGGAUGAAGGUUUUCGGAUUGUAAACUCCUGUCAUUGGGGAACAAUUCUACGGGGAGUAACUGCCCUGUAGUUGAUAGUACCCGAAGAGGAAGGGACGGCUAACUCUGUGCCAGCAGCCGCGGUAGUACAGAGGUCCCAAGCGUUGUUCGGAUUCAUUGGGCGUAAAGGGUGCGUAGGCGGUGAGGUAAGUUGGAUGUGAAAUCCCGGGGCUCAACCCCGGAACUGCAUUCAAUACUGCUUUGCUAGAGUACUGGAGAGGAGAUUGGAAUUCACGGUGUAGCAGUGAAAUGCGUAGAUAUCGUGAGGAAGACCAGUGGCGAAGGCGAAUCUCUGGACAGUUACUGACGCUGGGGCACGAAGGCUAGGGGAGCAAACGGGAUUAGAUACCCCGGUAGUCCUAGCA